CGGACGGGGAUAUCGCGCGAGAAUCUGCCCUCAGGAGGGGGAUGAGGUCAGAGAGACCGCAGCAGAGCCAUAUGCCCACUGGUGAUAUGAAUGUCACCUGAGCAUGAGCUCGCGUCACCAAAUUCAGGUAAUCGCUCUCCAAGGCAUCAAUCAGCAGCUGCUUGGAGAGGAUGAUCUGCCACACUGGGCAGCAGACACGAACCAGACUCCUACGGGAGGCAGCAGUGGGGAAUUCUGGACAAUGGGCGACAGCCCGAUGGAGCAACGGCGCGUGACGGGGAAAGGCCUGUGGGCUGUAAACCUCUUUUCUCAAGAUAGAAGAUAUGAUAAAAGAGAGGAAUAAGCCACGGCUAAUUUCGUGCCAGCAGCCGCGGUAAUUCGGGAGUGGCAAGCGUUAUCCGAAAUUAUUGGGCGUAAAGCGUCCGCAGGUGGCUUUUCAAGUUCAGUCCCAAGCGUGGGGAUCAUCUCCAUCAUGGCAGUGGAAACUGAAAGGCUUGAGUAUCAUAGGGGCCGAGGAAUUCCAAUCGGAGCGGAGAAAUCGUCGAUAUCGGGAAGAACCCCCGUUAGGAAGGCGCUGUAUUGGCCCUUGACCCCGCUCAUGUCCGCAACCCAGGGGCGGGAAAGCGAUUAGAUAUCCCAGUAGUC
Molecule: ribosomal RNA, 645 nt
Filed under: uncultured marine microorganism
Description: bacterial SSU rRNA
Rfam family: Bacterial small subunit ribosomal RNA
Source: RNAcentral